AGCGAACGCUGGCGGCGUGCCUAACACAUGCAAGUCGAACGUGAAAAGGGAAACCUGAGUAAAGUGGCGUACGGGUGAGUAACGCGUAGGUAAUCUACCCCAGAAUCUGGAAUAACCUGCCGAAAGGGGGGACAAUACCGAAUACAGGAUGGGAACUCCUAAUGAAUUUUUUGGGUAAGGGAGGCCCGCAGGGUCUUCCGUGACGGGCGGAUCCUCGGCUUAUUUGCUAGUUGGUUAGGUAACGGGUUUCCAAGGGGAAGAAGGGGAGCUGGGCUGAUAGGAUGGUCAGCCGCACUGGAAGGGAAACAGGGUCCAGACGCAUUCGGGAGGGAGCAGGAGGGAAUCGUGCGCAAGGGGCGGAAGACUGACGCAGCCACGCGGCGUGAGUGAAGAAGGCCGUCGGGUUGUAAAGCUCGGUCGGAUGGGAGGAACAUCCUCAUAGUGGAUAGCUAUGAGGACUGACGGUACCAGCAAAAGAAGCACCGGCUAACUCCGUG
Molecule: ribosomal RNA, 497 nt
Filed under: uncultured bacterium
Lineage: Bacteria
Description: partial 16S ribosomal RNA
Rfam family: Bacterial small subunit ribosomal RNA
Source: RNAcentral